CUCAAAAAAAUGAUUCUUGCCACUAUUUGAAAUUAAGCAAAAAAAUCUAAUAAAACAUAUUUAAAAACUAAUAAAAAUACCUAUUAUUACUCCAAAUUACUUUUAUACAACAUGAAUGAAAUGGAUACAAGACCAACCUGAUCAAAUUACAUAAACUAUACUUAAUUUGUUGCCAUAAGGCGCAAAUGCAAGUGUUGCGCAUGCUCACUGAAGUCUGAGUUCAAAAAACAACUACUGAAGGCGCAAUGGCGAUCUACUGUCUGACUCAGCGAAAAGGAGGAUUUGGAUGAACAGAUGUGGAUGUUUUACAAGAAACCUCAUCAGUGGGACAAUAACUCAAUUAUGAUAUGUGAGUUUUGUGGAAACGUAAAGUGUGUGGAAGAAGCAUCACAGAAGUAUCCAAUAUGUUUAAGUAACUGAAACAUUCUAAGAUUAAACUUGGACAUUUUGAGGAGAGAUUCAGUCAACCUGUUCACAGUAAAUUAAAUAAAAGCGGAAUUAAUGCGGAUAACGACUGUGCCACUUCUGUCAACGUUCAUAGCAGCUGGACAGAUACACUGUUAAUCAAAUGAAAGUUUUCAGCAGCAAAGGAGCUUCUGGACAAAAGAUAUCACACACAUUGCAGUUGCAGACAAGUGCGAAGAUAUACACUUCAAAUGAGACUGUGUCAUAAAGAGUCUGUGUGUGUAUCUCAAUGGGGACAUUACAACACUUCCAGUUCUCCAGAAUUCUUCCAGAAUUCCAGGACUGCAAUCCUGAAGGAGCUGAGGGAGGAAUUUCUGAGACUACUCUGGGCCCUUUUGUGACCCUUAAAGAAAGCGCUGAGGAUGAGCCAGUGGAUGUUGGCGUAGCAACAGAGAGUUUAAAACUACUACAACACUUAGGAGUUUCUCCUUUGGAUGCUGUUUGCUGUUUGGAUUGAUCUACGCAAUCAAGCUAUGCUCCGAGUCUCAAAUUCACUUUUGAAUUCUUCCAGAAGGUACUGAUGAAUUUAGAUUUUAGGACAUCACAUAGAUGUUUCGAUCCACUGGAAGGACUUAGAAACUUUGAAACCUAAGAAACAUUGAAUUGAAGACUAUGAUCGAUGACACUAUGAACCAAUGACACUAACUCAAAUCAAGAGACUACAUCUAAUGCACCUUCUGGCUUCCUCUAACUCUGAUAUUUUUAAAGGGUUAAUUCACCUAAAAAUUACAUUUCUGUCAUUAAUUACUCACCCUCAUGUCGUUCCACACCCGUAAGACCUUUGUUCAUCUUUGGAACACAAAUUAGGUUAUUUUUGAUGAAAUCCGUGAGCUAUCUGACCUCAGAUAGACUGCAACACAACUACCACUUUCAAGGCCCAGAAAGGUAGUAAAGACAUUGUUAAAAUAGUCAAUGUGACUGCAGUGGUUCAACCUUAAUGUUAUGAAGUGACAAGAAUACUAUUUGAGCG
This is a long non-coding RNA of Megalobrama amblycephala (Wuchang bream), 1435 nucleotides long. RefSeq lists it as uncharacterized. The transcript has 6 exons. The record is from RefSeq and is a predicted model, not a curated record. NCBI's taxonomy places the organism in Eukaryota, Metazoa, Chordata, Actinopteri, Cypriniformes, Xenocyprididae.